CCCAGAGAAGGAAGAGGAAACUCCCCGUGCGGGCUCUGUUCUAGACACACGUCCUCUCAUUUCAGCCUCCCAGGAAGGGAUUCCACCCCCCACCCCCCAUCUUGUGGGACACGAAGCAGAGACUUGCAGGAAGCUGAAGGCAGGCUCAGCACCCCGUGCUCGCUCCCCUUGACGAGACCAGCCCAAAGUCCACUCCUCCAGGCCUUGAUUUCCCCAGCUGUGAAGGGGCAAGACAGAAUUACAGGGGCCCUGCCAUGGCACAGAACGUGAACAGGAAAUGCCCAUUUCACUCCAUGCCCAACGAAGCCCAGCUCCUUGCCCUCAGAGGGCAUCAGGUUUUCCCAUGAGACAGCUUCUUCCUCCAGCUCUGCCCUCUGGCUACUGCUUAUCUCCCUGAUAAAUGGCCCCACUGUCCUGCCAGAGGAAGAGCUGUCUGUGUCCUUCAGAGCCCUCCCGGCUCCGGCAGGGCCCCAUCGGUGAGGACCUGGGCCUCGGCACGUCGGCAUGGUGGCCGGAGAGAGAUCCCAGGCCACUGACCCAAGUCCUGCCAGUUGGGUUGGGGGCCCCGGCCCCAGGGAGGUGGCUGUCUCGCUGCCAGCUGUCUUUCUGGGGGGACUCUGGUCUGAAGCAUGAGAAAGGCCAGGUUUUGGUGAGUUCGAGUAGGCAAGGCCCUGAUCUCACAGGGCACUCACCAUCCUCUCCCAGGGCCCCCAGCCCCUGCAUACCCCCCACCUAUCACGCACGUAGCAGCGGGACACCCCAGCCGUGACCUGGCAGCAGAGACAGGCAGCUUUGAUCUGCACAUGACCCUAAUGUGACCGUCGGCAGACACUGGCUGGGGGCUGGAUCCCAUGUACAGGCCGUGAAGGGGGGCAGACAUGAGCAGGGACGUGUCUGCCGGGUCCUCUGGCACCUCCCAGCUAGAACAGCUGCCUGAACACUGGUCCUGGGGAGGGGCGGGGGUGACUGGCCCAGGCCCCCAGCAGAACGACUGGAGUCUCCAGGGCCCUGCGGGACAGGGUCAGGUUGCGCCCCUUUGCUGACAGAGAUGGGCUCAGAGAGCACACAUGGAGGACAUGUCUUCCCUUCCCUUUGGUCCACGGCCGAACAUGGGUCCAUUGAUCCCGCGUUUCCUCUGGCUUCAGCCUGACGCCGAUACAAGCAAAGGCAGGCUGUCUGUCCACGGCCAGAUCUGCAGUGUUCAGCCAACCCUUGGCACGUAGCUGGCUCUGAAGAAAUGUCUGUUGAUGAAUGAAUCUUGGCUCCACACACAUCUUUGAUACUCUAGGUUCUGGCAUCCAAACAUAAUGUUUCAUUGAAAAAAUUUCUGCACUUAUUUGGUGCUGAGGUAGCUCCCAACACACAGCCAGGGUCAUGCUAUUGCUGUUCACAUCAGAGCCGCCCUGAACUGGCUGCUGCCAAUGACUUUGGGGACCAGGCGUGGGGGUGGUUACCUUUUAGGGUCCAGGGUAAUCUUUGCAACAUCCUCAGCUUGUGGGUAUGAGAAUGUAUUUCAAUCUUACUAGCUGACGUCUG
Bubalus bubalis (water buffalo) is the source of this 1536-nucleotide long non-coding RNA. RefSeq lists it as uncharacterized. The record is from RefSeq and is a predicted model, not a curated record. The transcript is spliced from 3 exons. NCBI's taxonomy places the organism in Eukaryota, Metazoa, Chordata, Mammalia, Artiodactyla, Bovidae.